CCUACACAUGCAAGUCGAACGGUAACAGGAAUCAGCUUGCUGCUUCGCUGACGAGUGGCGGACGGGUGAGUAAUGUCUGGGAAACUGCCUGAUGGAGGGGGAUAACUACUGGAAACGGUAGCUAAUACCGCAUAACGUCGCAAGACCAAAGAGGGGGACCUUCGGGCCUCUUGCCAUCGGAUGUGCCCAGAUGGGAUUAGCUAGUAGGUGGGGUAACGGCUCACCUAGGCGACGAUCCCUAGCUGGUCUGAGAGGAUGACCAGCCACACUGGAACUGAGACACGGUCCAGACUCCUACGGGAGGCAGCAGUGGGGAAUAUUGCACAAUGGGCGCAAGCCUGAUGCAGCCAUGCCGCGUGUAUGAAGAAGGCCUUCGGGUUGUAAAGUACUUUCAGCGGGGAGGAAGGGAGUAAAGUUAAUACCUUUGCUCAUUGACGUUACCCGCAGAAGAAGCACCGGCUAACUCCGUGCCAGCAGCCGCGGUAAUACGGAGGGUGCAAGCGUUAAUCGGAAUUACUGGGCGUAAAGCGCACGCAGGCGGUUUGUUAAGUCAGAUGUGAAAUCCCCGGGCUCAACCUGGGAACUGCAUCUGAUACUGGCAAGCUUGAGUCUCGUAGAGGGGGGUAGAAUUCCAGGUGUAGCGGUGAAAUGCGUAGAGAUCUGGAGGAAUACCGGUGGCGAAGGCGGCCCCCUGGACGAAGACUGACGCUCAGGUGCGAAAGCGUGGGGGAGCAAACAGGAUUAGAUACCCUGGUAGUCCACGCCGUAAACGAUGUCGACUUGGAGGUUGUGCCCUUGAGGCGUGGCUUCCGGAGCUAACGCGUUAAGUCGACCGCCUGGGGAGUACGGCCGCAAGGUUAAAACUCAAAUGAAUUGACGGGGGCCCGCACAAGCGGUGGAGCAUGUGGUUUAAUUCGAUGCAACGCGAAGAACCUUACCUGGUCUUGACAUCCACAGAACUUUCCAGAGAUGGAUUGGUGCCUUCGGGAACUGUGAGACAGGUGCUGCAUGGCUGUCGUCAGCUCGUGUUGUGAAAUGUUGGGUUAAGUCCCGCAACGAGCGCAACCCUUAUCCUUUGUUGCCAGCGGUCCGGCCGGGAACUCAAAGGAGACUGCCAGUGAUAAACUGGAGGAAGGUGGGGAUGACGUCAAGUCAUCAUGGCCCUUACGACCAGGGCUACACACGUGCUACAAUGGCGCAUACAAAGAGAAGCGACCUCGCGAGAGCAAGCGGACCUCAUAAAGUGCGUCGUAGUCCGGAUUGGAGUCUGCAACUCGACUCCAUGAAGUCGGAAUCGCUAGUAAUCGUGGAUCAGAAUGCCACGGUGAAUACGUUCCCGGGCCUUGUACACACCGCCCGUCACACCAUGGGAGUGGGUUGCAAAAGAAGUAGGUAGCUUAACCUUCGGGAGGGCGCUUA
RNAcentral lists this ribosomal RNA (1419 nucleotides) under Escherichia coli. RNAcentral describes it as "bacterial SSU rRNA". It matches the Rfam family "Bacterial small subunit ribosomal RNA". The record is from RNAcentral. Lineage: Bacteria; Pseudomonadati; Pseudomonadota; Gammaproteobacteria; Enterobacterales; Enterobacteriaceae.